Molecule: ribosomal RNA, 503 nt
Filed under: uncultured Planctomycetota bacterium
Lineage: Bacteria; Pseudomonadati; Planctomycetota
Description: bacterial SSU rRNA
Rfam family: Bacterial small subunit ribosomal RNA
Source: RNAcentral
GCGUGCGGGAUGAAGGCCUUCGGGUUGUAAACCGCUGUCAGAGGGGAUGAAAUGCAGGUGGGUUCUCCCAUCUGUUUGACAUAGCCUCAGAGGAAGGACGGGCUAAGUUCGUGCCAGCAGCCGCGGUAAGACGAACCGUCCAAACGUUAUUCGGAAUUACUGGGCUUAAAGGGUGCGUAGGCGGCGCGGAAAGUUGGGUGUGAAAUCCCUCGGCUCAACCGAGGAACUGCGCUCAAUACUGCCGUGCUCGAGGGAGAUAGAGGUGAGCGGAACUUAGGGUGGAGCGGUGAAAUGCGUUGAUAUCCUAAGGAACACCGGUGGCGAAAGCGGCUCACUGGAUCUCUUCUGACGCUGAGGCACGAAAGCUAGGGUAGCAAACGGGAUUAGAUACCCCGGUAGUCCUAGCCGUAAACGAUGAGCACUGGAUUGAAGGGUCCUCCAUAGCCUUUCAGUCGCAACGAAAGCGUUAAGUGCUCCGCCUGGGGAGUAUGGUCGCAAGGCUG